This 932-nucleotide ribosomal RNA is filed under the name Candidatus Phytoplasma asteris-related phytoplasma. RNAcentral describes it as "bacterial SSU rRNA". It matches the Rfam family "Bacterial small subunit ribosomal RNA", at positions 217 to 1158 of the family's 1533-position model. Lineage: Bacteria; Bacillati; Mycoplasmatota; Mollicutes; Acholeplasmatales; Acholeplasmataceae. The record is from RNAcentral.
GCUUAGGGAGGAGCUUGCGUCACAUUAGUUAGUUGGUGGGGUAAAGGCCUACCAAGACUAUGAUGUGUAGCCGGGCUGAGAGGUUGAACGGCCACAUUGGGACUGAGACACGGCCCAAACUCCUACGGGAGGCAGCAGUAGGGAAUUUUCGGCAAUGGAGGAAACUCUGACCGAGCAACGCCGCGUGAACGAUGAAGUAUUUCGGUACGUAAAGUUCUUUUAUUAGGGAAGAAUAAAUGAUGGAAAAAUCAUUCUGACGGUACCUAAUGAAUAAGCCCCGGCUAACUAUGUGCCAGCAGCCGCGGUAAUACAUAGGGGGCAAGCGUUAUCCGGAAUUAUUGGGCGUAAAGGGUGCGUAGGCGGUUAAAUAAGUUUAUGGUCUAAGUGCAAUGCUCAACAUUGUGAUGCUAUAAAAACUGUUUAGCUAGAGUAAGAUAGAGGCAAGUGGAAUUCCAUGUGUAGUGGUAAAAUGCGUAAAUAUAUGGAGGAACACCAGUAGCGAAGGCGGCUUGCUGGGUCUUUACUGACGCUGAGGCACGAAAGCGUGGGGAGCAAACAGGAUUAGAUACCCUGGUAGUCCACGCCGUAAACGAUGAGUACUAAACGUUGGGUAAAACCAGUGUUGAAGUUAACACAUUAAGUACUCCGCCUGAGUAGUACGUACGCAAGUAUGAAACUUAAAGGAAUUGACGGGACUCCGCACAAGCGGUGGAUCAUGUUGUUUAAUUCGAAGGUACCCGAAAAACCUCACCAGGUCUUGACAUGCUUCUGCAAAACUGUAGAAACACAGUGNAGGUUAUCAGUUGCACAGGUGGUGCAUGGUUGUCGUCAGCUCGUGUCGUGAGAUGUUGGGUUAAGUCCCGCAACGAGCGCAACCCUUAUUGUUAGUUACCAGCACGUAAUGGUGGGGACUUUAGCAAGACUGCCGGUGA